Molecule: unclassified non-coding RNA, 335 nt
Filed under: soil metagenome
Description: partial contains 5.8S ribosomal RNA, internal transcribed spacer 2, and large subunit ribosomal RNA
Rfam family: 5.8S ribosomal RNA (bases 1-120)
Source: RNAcentral
GAUGAAGAACGUAGCGAAAUGCGAUAAGUAAUGUGAAUUGCAGAAUUCAGUGAAUCAUCGAAUCUUUGAACGCUCAUUGCGCCCGCCAGUAUUCUGGCGGGCAUGCCUGUUCGAGCGUCAUUUCAACCAUCAAGCCCCCGGCUUGUGUUGGGGACCUGCGGCUGCCGCAGGCCCUGAAAACCAGUGGCGGGCUCGCUAGUCACUCCGAGCGUAGUAAUACAUCUCGCUCAGGGCGUGCUGCGGGUUCCGGCCGUUAAAAAGCCUUAUUUACCCAAGGUUGACCUCGGAUCAGGUAGGAAGACCCGCUGAACUUAAGCAUAUCAAUAAGCGGAGGA